RNAcentral lists this long non-coding RNA (244 nucleotides) under Ficedula albicollis (Collared flycatcher). RNAcentral's name for it is "lncRNA (ENSFALG00000023812.1)". Lineage: Eukaryota; Metazoa; Chordata; Aves; Passeriformes; Muscicapidae. The record is from RNAcentral.
AGUAAAAACUCCCCAACCAACAAGACAUAAAGGAAACUAGGCUUUGAACAGGAGAUACAUUUAAAGAAACAGCUCUUUUUUUUCCAGUGGGAGAUCUGAGCUGCUGGGUUACAACUAAGGUGUGAGGACGAGCAUGAUGCUUUGCUCUGCACAGAACCUAAUGACUGGAUUGAGUGAAUAUUUGUGAUAGGAGUUAUUUGGGAGCUACUAAAAAAAUGACACUUGGAAAAUUCUGUUGUUCCAG